This 361-nucleotide unclassified non-coding RNA is filed under the name Hevea brasiliensis (rubber tree). Lineage: Eukaryota; Viridiplantae; Streptophyta; Magnoliopsida; Malpighiales; Euphorbiaceae. The record is from RNAcentral.
AAGACAGGACUGAACUCCAAGUAGCUCUCUCAUAGUUCAUCGCAUGCUGUUGGAAUUUCCAGUUGCGCUUUCGAAUCCAAUCAUCGCCAAAUAUAUGCCUAAGUUCCGAAUUCUUUACCUUUUGAGCCAUGUAAUGUAUGUUGUUCAUCAAGAAGAUAUGUUGCAAGGAAGGAUCCCUGUAUAACUUGGCCUUGUCAUCAAGGUUGCAUUCUAGAAUUGAAGCAACAGAUCUGAAGUGGAGAGCCAUAGGGGAAGCAUCAAAUGUACUUCCACUUGUGUUCUCUUCUUCUGUACGUGGACUUGAGCCAGGGGACAAUGAAAUAGGAUCCUCUCCAUCAUGAUCCUUUAGGAGAAAAUUGAG